CCUACGGGCGGCAGCAGUGAGGAAUAUUGGUCAAUGGACGAGAGUCUGAACCAGCCAAGUAGCGUGAAGGAUGACUGCCCUAUGGGUUGUAAACUUCUUUUAUAUGGGAAUAAAAUGUUCCACGUGUGGGAUUUUGUAUGUACCAUAUGAAUAAGGAUCGGCUAACUCCGUUCCAGCAGCCGCGGUAAUACGGAGGAUCCGAGCGUUAUCCGGAUUGAUUGGGUUUAACGGGAGCGUAGGUGGAUUGUUAAGUCAGUUGUGAAAGUUUGCGGCUCAACCGUAAAAUUGCAGUUGAAACUGGCAGUCUUGAGUACAGUAGAGGUGGGCGGAAUUCGUGGUGUAGCGGUGAAAUGCUUAGAUAUCACGAAGAACUCCGAUUGCGAAGGCAGCUCACUGGACUGCAACUGACACUGAGGCUCGAAAGUGUGGGUAUCAAACAGGAUUAGAUACCCUUGUAGUC
RNAcentral lists this ribosomal RNA (460 nucleotides) under uncultured bacterium. RNAcentral describes it as "partial 16S ribosomal RNA". It matches the Rfam family "Bacterial small subunit ribosomal RNA", at positions 338 to 795 of the family's 1533-position model. The record is from RNAcentral.